CAGCUCUGGCUGCCCAAUAUUUACUUCUCAAAGGGAGACUGUGGAAACAUCAUGGGAACAACUCUAAAUGGGAAUUCUCAGGCCCUGGUGACAGGCGGCAGAGGAGUUAGGCCCACCUGAUACUCUCAAAUUGCACCCUGGGGACUAGGGACCACCCACACCAAUUCCCACCGUAAAAGGGUGGACCCUGCUCAUCCUCCCAGCUGCUUGGAAGGGAAGAUAAACACUGCAGAGUGCAGGAGCGCUCAUGCUGAGAGCAGAGAGAGAGGUUUAAUGGGCUUGUUAUCAGGCACCUGCUGAGCAGUCCUUCUCCCAAGAAGACAGGACUCAGAGAUAAAUGACCUGGCCUGAGCAGCCUCCUGGUGAGAAGAGAAAUGCCUGGAACAGGAAGUGGUGAAUCCAUAGACCAGGCAGGUCAUAGGGGCAGGCAAAGAUUUGCGGGGAGAAAAGCAGCCCUCCUUCUGUACAGUUGUCAACCAUCCAAGG
RNAcentral lists this long non-coding RNA (486 nucleotides) under Homo sapiens (human). RNAcentral's name for it is "HSALNT0135679". Lineage: Eukaryota; Metazoa; Chordata; Mammalia; Primates; Hominidae. The record is from RNAcentral.